This 148-nucleotide non-coding RNA is filed under the name Pan troglodytes (chimpanzee). Lineage: Eukaryota; Metazoa; Chordata; Mammalia; Primates; Hominidae. The record is from Rfam by way of RNAcentral.
GCCAGGUGUGGUGGCGCACACCUGUAGUCCCACCUACUCAGGAGGCUGAGGCAGGAGAAUCGCUUGAACCCGGGAGGCAGAGGCUUCAGUGAGCCGAGAUCACACCACUGCACUCCAGCCUGGGUAACAGAGUGAGACUCUGUCUCAA